UACGUAGGGGGCAAGCGUUGUCCGGAAUCAUUGGGCGUAAAGAGCGCGUAGGCGGCCCGAUAAGUCCGCUGUGAAAGUCAAGGGCUCAACCCUUGAAUGCCGGUGGAUACUGUCGGGCUAGAGUCCGGAAGAGGCGAGUGGAAUUCCUGGUGUAGCGGUGAAAUGCGCAGAUAUCAGGAGGAACACCUGCGGCGAAGGCGGGUUGCUGGGCUGAUACUGACGCUGAGGCGCGAAAGCCAGGGGAGCGAACGGG
This 253-nucleotide ribosomal RNA is filed under the name uncultured bacterium. Its description in RNAcentral is "partial 16S ribosomal RNA". It matches the Rfam family "Bacterial small subunit ribosomal RNA", at positions 524 to 776 of the family's 1533-position model. The record is from RNAcentral.